GGAUCAUGAAGUCAAGAGUUUGAGACCAGCCUGGCCAACAUGGGGAGGCCUAGAUGAUUCCAAGAUGUCCUGGCCAAGGUCCUUUGCUGACAGAGAAGGAAACUCACCAAAACUAGUUUGAGGAAAGAGAGAAAUUAAAUGGCGGGGCAGAGGUGAUUUCAUAGUCUCUGUGAGCAAAAGCAUAGGCAGGCCUCAUGGGACCCUGGAAAAAGAACAGAAAUACCUGCAAAUGAAGUUCCACUCUCAUUCUCUUACCGGGGGCCAUUCCUGCAUUGCACCCGCAGAUGUUGCUGCUACUCUGCAAGAAAUUUGUGGGGUUCUAACCUCUGCCUCACCAUGUGUCUGCUUCAGUUUCUUCUUUCUGCCAAGGUGGAAAGUGGCCAUCCCAACUGUACCUUUGCAGGACCCAACGCUGACCAUUGAGAGACUCUGGGUCAACUCCAAGCUGGAAUGAGAAAGAGUUGAGUCGACCUAUCCUCAAGCCCAACCAGAAUCCCUCCAUUCCCGUUUUCCUUCCCUGUUAAUCUCUCUCUUCUUCAUUAAUCUUUUCAUUGCUUCAGUAUGGUAACCCAAACUGGUGGAAAGGGGACAGAAAAUGGCACAAUCAGAAACUGAAGCCACAAAGACCUAACAUCCUAUGGAUGAGAUUAUCCAUCUGCUGGAGAGAUGACUUGAAGUGUACAGCAGAUAAGCUUAGAGGGCCUCUCCAGACCCGUCGCAAAGAUGCAAUCUGAAUGUAAUUUAAGAUAAAUAGUAAUCAUGGAAACACUAUCAUAUUAAUCACAGAAAUAAAUGCAGUCCAUGGGCUCUACGUUUGUGGAUUCAACCAACUGAGAAUUGAAAAUAUCCAGAAAAGAAAAAUGGAUGGUUCUGUCUGGACCAAACAU
This is a long non-coding RNA of Homo sapiens (human), 887 nucleotides long. RefSeq lists it as uncharacterized. Lineage: Eukaryota; Metazoa; Chordata; Mammalia; Primates; Hominidae. The record is from RefSeq and is a predicted model, not a curated record. The transcript has 2 exons.